Molecule: long non-coding RNA, 2112 nt
Filed under: Felis catus (domestic cat)
Lineage: Eukaryota; Metazoa; Chordata; Mammalia; Carnivora; Felidae
Description: lncRNA (ENSFCAG00000043617.2)
Source: RNAcentral
AUGCUGGUGGAAUUCUCACCCCAAACCUCCAGCUACUGGAUCUGGGGAGGGGACAGAGAAUCCCUGCUUGAUUUCCGAGCAGACGUUUGCAACCCUGGGGCGCCAGCAAAAGCAGAGGUGAAUUCUCCGCGCUCUCCCGGGAAAUCCGCAUCCACUCCCGGACGCGCAACCGAGCCGGCUCCGGGCGCGGAUUCCCGCGCCGGCUGGGGCUCCCGGGUCGCUGGCGUCCCGGCCGGGAGGCGGUGCGAGCUCCCGGGGAGGGCCCCCUCCGCCUCCAGGGCGGCGCAAGCGGGGCCUAAGGUGGGUCACCUGCCAGGGAGGAAACGGGGGGUGCCGACGCACGUGGGAGGGGCGCCGACCCCGGGGCGGUGCAGAGCUGGAGGGUGCGGAAAAAGGCGGGAGGGAGGCUGGAGUUCGGACCUAGCCUUUCCCAGCGGGGGAGAGGGCGUGGAUGGGACGUCCCAGGUUUGCGGCGCAGGCAGCGUCACCCAAUCCACAGCCAACCCCACCCUCUGGGCCGCGCGGGUCCCCUCCCUCUGGACUGAAACCCGAGGAGCCGCCACGCCGCGGGGCCUGAUGCACUUGUCCGCUGCCGGUCGGCGGGAGGCGAGAACCCGGCGAGGCCGCUCGGAGCGGGCCCGACUCGGGGCAGCACCGGAGCGGGCCGGGCAGCAGUGGGCGCUCGCGAUCCUCCUCUGCCCAACGCGCUCUCCCUCAGGGCCGGGCCUCCUCCGUCCCCUCCUCCUGCUCCUGCUCCUCCUCCCGCUCCUCCCCUCCGCGGGACUGAUCGCCGAGCCUCCCGCCUGCAAAGUCCCCGGCGCGCCGGCAGCUACCAGCCGCCGUCUCUGCUGGAUCUCCGUGGGUGCCUGCGCCCCAGCCUCGUCCGCCUGCCCCGAGGCGUCCCCCUCCCUCCCGGCUCGCUCCGCCGGCCGCCGGUGCUCCGCGGCGCUGCCCAUGGCCCAGCCCGAGAGCCGACUUCGGGCGCCGGACCGGCUGGACCGCGGCGCAGCUCAGUAACUGGCGGCCCGCGACACCCAUGUGUCACUGAUCGGGAGGCUCUCCCCGCGGCAGCGCUUCAUGACCCAGCGGCGCCCGGCCCAGUGAAGCCACCAUGGUGUCCAGCACAGCGGCGCUGCUCCUGGGCGCCGUGCUCCUGGUGGCCCAGCUGCAGCCCGUGCCUUCCCGCCCCGCCGCCGCCGCCGCCGCCGCCGCGCCCGGGGUCGAGCCGGGCCAGCCGGAGCUGUCGCGCAGAGCGGCCACCGUCCAGGGCGACGGCCGGGACGGCGCGCCCCCCAACGGCUCGGCGCAGCAGCUGCCGCAGACCAUCAUCAUCGGCGUGCGCAAGGGCGGCACGCGCGCGCUGCUGGAGAUGCUCAGCCUGCACCCCGACGUGGCGGCCGCCGAGAACGAGGUCCACUUCUUCGACUGGGAGGAGCACUACAGCCAAGGCCUGGGCUGGUACCGGGGCCAGAUGCCCUUCUCGUCUCCGCAGCAGCUCACGGUGGAGAAGACCCCCGCGUACUUCACGUCGCCCAAAGUGCCUGAGCGCGUCCACAGCAUGAACCCGGGCAUCCGGCUGCUGCUCAUCCUGCGCGACCCGUCCGAGCGCGUGCUGUCCGACUACACCCAAGUGUUCUACAACCACGUGCAGAAGCGCAAGCCCUACCCGUCCAUCGAGGAGUUCCUGGUGCGCGACGGCCGGCUCAACGUGGGCUACAAGGCGCUCAACCGCAGCCUCUACCACGUGCACCUGCACAACUGGCUGCGCUUCUUCCCGCUGCGCCGCAUCCACAUCGUCGACGGCGACCGCCUCAUCAGGGACCCCUUCCCCGAGAUCCAGAAGGUCGAGCGGUUCCUGAAGCUGUCGCCGCAGAUCAACGCCUCGAACUUCUACUUUAACAAAACCAAGGGCUUUUACUGCCUGCGGGACAGCGGCCGGGACCGAUGCUUGCACGAGUCCAAAGGCCGGGCGCACCCCCGAGUGGACCCCAGACUCCUCAGUAAACUGCACGAAUACUUUCACGAGCCAAAUAAGAAAUUCUUCGAGCUUGUCGGCCGGACAUUUGACUGGCACUGAUUAGCAAUAAAGUGAGGCUCGGAACCUUUCCCGUU